UAUGUCUUCUGUAAUCAAUGAAAAUUGGGUUCUUUCUCACCCUAAGAGAACUUAUCUCGUUUAUGUGUUGUUCUGAUUGGGACCACAUCAUUGGUAUCAGAGCAGGGAAUGGCAACAAACAAAUAACAAAUUGAAACCUUAGAGGUCAGUGUUGGAGGCCUGCAAGACCGCUUCAGCCAUAUGGAGAACGGAAUGGCGAGCAAACUGUAGGUGAUUGAGGACACUCUCCGACGCUUGACCGAAUCGCUGAAACUGAACAAGGAAGUAUCCAUCAACACUUCCACCGGGCGAAGCACUCUGGAAUGGCUGAAUCGCGAAAGCGGCGCCGAGCGGAAUGACGGACCACGACCUGCGUUCGGUGCCCGACUGGAAACACCGGAGGAACAUGGGGUGUCGCUGGCGGCUUUUCACAUGGAAGGGGAAGCUAAUCAGUGGUGGCAGUGGUUGAAGAAAACGCAUAAGGAAAAAGCCCGGGAGUUGGGCUGGACCGAAUUUGUGGAUGAGCUUUGGGCUUGUUUUAGCCGGACGGAAUGUGAAGACUUUGAUGAAGCCUUAUCCAGAGUGGAGCAGACUGGCUCUCUUCGAGAAUAUCAAAAGGAAUUUGAGCGCCUGGGUAACCGGGUUAGGGGCUGGACCCAAAAAGCUUUAGUGGGUACAUUCAUGGGUGGACUUCAGCCUGACAUUGCUGAUGGAAUCAGGCUGUUUUAGCCCAAAACACUGAAAGAUAUUAUUAACCUGGCUUGGAUGAGAGAAGACUAGUUAGACCGACAGAAACAGUCCAACCGAACUGGGCGGUUCACUCCCAUAGUGCAAUAGAAAACCCAAGUCGUCUCUUCUUCGACUACAGACGCUCCGCCAGCCGCCACCAUGAAACGACUCUCUUGGGACGAAAUGCAGCGGAGACGCGCACAAGGUAUCUGCUUCAAUUGUGAGGAGAAAUUCGUUCCGCACCACCGAUGCCGUCGACCACAACUAUUACUGUUAGAGAGCGGAGAAGAGGAAGACGGGUCAACCGCACAUGAGGAAUCAGGAAUCUCUUUACAUGCCCUUGAAGGAUGGCCGUCCGCUCGAAGUAUGAAGAUUAUCGCCUCCAUUCAACAACAGAAAAUGGUGGUACUUGUGGACAGUGGGUCGACUCACAAUUUCAUAAGUGAGCGACUCACGAGCAUCAUGCGGCCACCUGUGAGUACCGACCGAACCAUUUACGGUCCGAGUAGCGAACGGACUAUCGAUGAAAUGCAGUGGCUGGUUCGAACGAGUUCCAGUCGAGAUGCUAGGUAUCAUUUUUCAUCUCACUCUAUGUGCCCUUCCUUUGAUUGGUUUGGACUUGGUUGUAGGAGUUCAAUGGCUGUCCGAGUUAGGCACCAUAACCUGUGACUGGAGGAAGAUGACGAUGAGGUUCGUUUGGGAUGGCCAAGAACAGAAACUUUGCAGCAUGACUCAGCCGACCAUCCGACCAGCUUCCAGAAAAGAAGUAGAGAAGCACAACAAAAAUAUACCUCGUUUGCCCUCUGCACAGUGGCCGCACCAGAACAGCAAUCGUCUUCCAUCAAUUCAGAGAUGCAAGUCUUAUUGAAAGAAUAUACUGACUUGUUCCAAGAACCUGAGGGGUUACCACCAACCAAAUAAAUUGAACACAGAAUUAUUCUCCGUGAAGGUACAAAACCGAUCAACGUCCGUCCAUUCCGGUAUGCACACUUUCAAAAAACUGAAAUUGAAAAGCAAGUUAACAACAUGCUUGAUUCUGGUUGAUCAGACUCAGCACCAGUCGAUUUUCCUCUCCAGUGUUGUUAGUGCGAAAAAAGGACGAGACAUGACGAUUUUGUACAGAUCAUAGAGCACUCAAUUAUGCCAUUGUGAAAGAUCUGUUUCCCUUUCCUACAGUAGAUGAUAUGCUCGAUGAGCUUCAUGGAGCUAAAUUCUUUACCAAGCUCGAUUUAACUGUCGGUUAUCAACCAAGUCAGAGUUCAUCCUUCAGAUGUGUAUAAAGCAGCUUUCCGGACACACAAUGGACACUAAAGAAUAUAUAGUCAUGCACAUUCGGGUUGUGCAAUGCUCCUUCCACCUUCCAAGCCAUCAUGACUUCCAUAUUCCGAUUCUAUUUAUUAGCACUUGGAUUUGCAUCUUGAUCACGUCAAGCAGGCUCUAGACAUCUUGAGACAACAUUGCUUCUUCAUCAAAUAGAAGAAAUGUUUUUUUGGGCAACAGGAACUUGAGUAUUCGGGACAUAUUAUCAUUUCACAAGGAGUCAAAGUUGAUCAAGCUAAAAUCAAGGCAAUGGAAUCAUGGCCCCGACGAACCAACAUCUCUGAACUACGGAGUUUUUUGUGACUUACUGGUUAUUAUAGAAAAUUUGUCAAAAAUUAUGGAAUGAUAGCUCAGCCAUUGACUAACCUCUUAAAGAAAGGUCAAUUUGGGUGGAAAGAAGUAGCGGAAUAUGCCUUUGAACAACUCAAACAGGCUCUUUCAAUAACUCCUCCAUUGGCAUUACCAGACUUCAACAUUCCUUCAAUAGUUGAAACUGAUCCUUUAGGUGACGGUAUUGGGGCUGUCUUUUCACAAAACAGGCACCCAAUAGCUUAUAUGUAAUUAUUCCGAAAAUAUUUAAAGAAA
Carica papaya (papaya) is the source of this 2613-nucleotide non-coding RNA. Lineage: Eukaryota; Viridiplantae; Streptophyta; Magnoliopsida; Brassicales; Caricaceae. The record is from RefSeq and is a predicted model, not a curated record.